This 459-nucleotide ribosomal RNA is filed under the name uncultured bacterium. RNAcentral's name for it is "partial 16S ribosomal RNA". It matches the Rfam family "Bacterial small subunit ribosomal RNA", at positions 338 to 795 of the family's 1533-position model. The record is from RNAcentral.
CCUACGGGAGGCAGCAGUGAGGAAUAUUGGUCAAUGGGCGCGAGCCUGAACCAGCCAAGUCGCGUGAGGGAAGACGGUCCUAUGGAUUGUAAACCUCUUUUGUCGGGGAGCAAAAGACGCCACGUGUGGCGUUCCGAGAGUACCCUAAGAACAAGCAUCGGCUAACUCCGUGCCAGCAGCCGCGGUAAUACGGAGGAUGCGAGCGUUAUCCGGAUUUAUUGGGUUUAAAGGGUGCGCAGGCGGAAGAUCAAGUCAGCGGUAAAAUUGAGAGGCUCAACCUCUUCGAGCCGUUGAAACUGGUUUUCUGGAGUGAGCGAGAAGUAUGCGGAAUGCGUGGUGUAGCGGUGAAAUGCAUAGAUAUCACGCAGAACUCCGAUUGCGAAGGCAGCAUACCGGAGCGCAACUGACGCUCAUGCACGAAAGUGUGGGUAUCGAACAGGAUUAGAUACCCUUGUAGUC